GGGUGUAUCUUCUCCCCCCUGACUACUCCCUAUAAACUUUUCUGAACUCUAUACUCAUGGUCAAAGAGGACAAGCUUCCUUGGUAGGGCAGUCCUAGAUUUCUCAAGGGUAUAUGAGUAGUCAUUCUCUCCUGUGAGAACCUCCAAAUAGUCUCUAUGAAACUGCUUAUUGAGCUGCAGAUCAGUACAUGUACAUGUUCAAAGAGAAAAAAAAAGAAAGCCAGGCACUGGUUU
This 233-nucleotide small RNA is filed under the name Mesocricetus auratus (golden hamster). RNAcentral describes it as "7SK RNA (ENSMAUG00000004845.1)". The record is from RNAcentral. Lineage: Eukaryota; Metazoa; Chordata; Mammalia; Rodentia; Cricetidae.